ACACACGCUACAAUGGCCAGUACAAUGGGUUGCCAAGCCGCGAGGCGGAGCCAAUCCUAAAAAGACUGGCCUCAGUUCAGAUUGCAGUCUGCAACUCGACUGCAUGAAGUUGGAGUUGCUAGUAACCGCAGGUCAGCAAUACUGCGGUGAAUACGUUCCCGGGGAUU
RNAcentral lists this ribosomal RNA (167 nucleotides) under uncultured Anaerolineaceae bacterium. RNAcentral describes it as "partial 16S ribosomal RNA". It matches the Rfam family "Bacterial small subunit ribosomal RNA", at positions 1218 to 1378 of the family's 1533-position model. Lineage: Bacteria; Bacillati; Chloroflexota; Anaerolineae; Anaerolineales; Anaerolineaceae. The record is from RNAcentral.